UAUAUACUUGUUGUAUCUUUGUACUGCUGUUUUUACAAAUUGCCGUAUCCUAUGUGCUUGUUUCCAUAUCGUCGUAUCUGUGUUGUUAUAUGGUGCUUCAUAGCAAAAACUUAUACUUACUAAAGAAAGUGUUCCUUUUCUUGGUCCCAUUGCUCCAUAAGCAUGAUCACGUUUCUACUAAUUGAUUAUACAUAUGAUCUUUCUUUUGAUUAUUUUGUGAUACUUCUGAUUGACACUAUGAGGUGCUUCCUUGUCAUGCAGAUUCAUCCUUUACUUAAAUACUGAUGAUGAUAUGGUUGUAAAUUAGUCUGGUAUGUGCCAAUAGUUGUCUUCCCCAGAAGAUUUUUUUUGUCAGAAUAGCUUACCUAAAGAGUUGGUUUGCCUAGAUGCAUCAUUUACUUAUACACUGAUGAUAUUGCUAUAGCUAAACAAAUGGGUGAAAAACCACAUCAACCCAGCUAUAAGAAUGCAAUCUUAUGAUUCAUGCUCACCUAUGGUUGGUUGCUAUAUUGUACAUUCUUUUGACGAAACUAUAUUGUACAUUUAAUAACCUGACUUCUUCCAUGAGAUAGCACUACUUAGAGGUUUAACUGAGUGAGAUUGGGUUUAGGGACAAGAAGAGGAACCAUGGGCGGGUGCUCUUGCGACUCUCGGCUGGUUCCAAGAUUGUGCUUGAUCGAUUUAUCUGUCUGUGCAGGGAUGGCAAGGCAGCUUGAAGGUGGUCACGGCCAUCUCGCAGAGAUGGUGCAAGCUGUCAAGAAUCACGGUGCUGGGGCACUGCACUUCACCGCCGGGUGCAAGAUGGUGGAAGUGUGCGAGUACCUGUUGAGGAUGUCCAGGUGGACGUGGAUGUCGUUGACCAAGCAGGUGUGUCUCUGCAAAUUAAUGUUGGUGUUUUUUGCUCUUUUCAGAUUUUAAGCUUGGUGUAUAAACAUACAUGUCAUUCACUGUAUGUAACUUUCAGUGCAAGAUUAAAAUAGGGGAUACAUCAUUAUGGAAGGUAUAUGAUUGAAUAGCAAAUUGGAUGGAUUUACUGUCAUAUCAUUUAUUUGUGACUGCAUGAUCUGAAUUGCGCAUCUCUGAAAAUAUGUUAGGCUCUUGCCCUUGGAAGAUUAGACUGCCCACUAUACACAUGCUUCAACUGAAAAACUGAUUUUUUUAGAACAGCAGCCAAUAGUAUCAGCAGAACCACCCAUCCAUGGCACAACAGAACAGUAGCACAAGCAGCAGCACAACACCAGUAGCUCAAGCGGGAGCAGCUAGCACACGCACGAGAGUGGAAGAGGAGCUCAUCGAGGCGGCUUCCGGUGAUGAGGCAGAUCCAGGUCGGCGGCCGGCCGGCUUUUGAGAGGAGGGAGAGGCGGGUCGUUGUCGAGGAGCGCGGCAUCGAGAGGAAGAGAGAGUGCAUCGGCGUCCUGCCUGAAUGAUCGUGCUUACCACCAAAUUUUCAAUGACCUUCAUUAGUCAAUUUCUUCACAGAAUGGCGUACUAUACGUUUUCUUGUGUUUAAUCGGCAUGCUCGCAUUAGUGGACUCACUAUAAACACGUACGCGGGCAUGGCGUAUGGGGUGGCGGCCAGGACUUUGGCCAUCGGCACGAACUCUGAUGUUUUGUGGUCUGAUUUCAGCUUGAUUUUGUUUUGUUUCACUUGCUAUCUGCAGCCUCUUAGACUCUAGGUAGAAAGUGUUUAAAAGAGUUGACUUGUUAGUUUCCUAAAAAUUUCUUCCAUGAAAUAAUAUGAUUACGAUCUUUAGGGUUGUUUUGCUGUCCCAAAGGCACACGGGAGUCUGCGGGAAAAAAACUGGCGACGUUUUCUCUUGGAUAUUCAGAAAAUGGAGACACUCGGCGAUCUGGCUCUGCUGCAGGUAUGCCUUUUGUGCCCCUCUAUUUACUUACUAUGAGCAUGGUUUAGUUUAGAGAGAACUACAGUGCUUUGAGGCUACUGUAUGUGUUGUGUUCCCUAUUGUUCAUGGAAGUUGUUUUUUUGGGCAUUAUUCUACAAGGACCGUGUGUAACUACUUAGAAGCAUGAAAUAGCUAUGUAGCCAUCUGCCCAGCCAAGUACAAGGUAAAGUUCCUUCCUGUAAUAGUAGCCUUACCUAUUAAGGUAAUGGCUUUCAUUCUUCGGGAUAUAGGUGUUUCAUGGUAUGGUACAAAGUACUGAUUGUGCAGGAUGGUUGCAACAUCUGAGCAAAUAGUUGGUUUGAACAUUUUGUAGUUGUGAUUUGCACUAGGAGUUGCUGGCCUUUUUCGUAUCAGCUUCGUCGUCGCCAUACUUUUUUGGUAGAUAUUUAAACAUAGCUCAGUACGUAUCACGCUCGCAAAGGGAGAGACAAAGCAUAGUUAGAGUCGCACAAGCUACUUGCUUCUUUCCUGAACAAUUAGAUUCUGAUAUUAAUGCAAUGCCGAUUCCUACUUUCAGGUUUAUUAGUUGGUUUUUUAUAUUGGCUUUAGGACGGCCAGUGUAUUUUGGUUAAUAUAUAAUGUGCUGCCAUUUGUUAACUUAAAUAUAUUUUCAUGCAUUUUCUUUCGAAAUCUUGCAAAACCAUAACAAAAAUUUCAGGAGUUAUGAACAAUUAGAAAUACAUUAUACUGAAGGUUGAGUAAAAUAUGUCUUUUGGAUUGAGCAAAUAUAUAGCUGCAGAAAUUUUGCAAAUCAACACAUAACAAGAAUCUAAGGCUCUCUAGACUCCUUUUCCUUGCUAAAUAUGCACGCUUUCCAUGGAUUUUUUUUCAAUAUAUUUAGCUUACCUAAAGAGUUGGUUUGCCCAGAUGCAUCAUUUACUUAUACACUGAUGAUAUUGCUGUAGCUAAACAAAUGGGUGAAAAACCACAUCAACCCAGCUAUAAGAAUGCAAUCUUAUGAUUCAUGCUCACCUAUGGUUGGUUGCUAUAUUGUACAUUCUUUUGACGAUACUAUAUUGUACAUUUAAUAACCUCACUUCUUCCAUGAGAGAGCACUACUUAGAGGUUUAACUGAGUGAGAUUGGGUUUAGGGACAAGAAGAGGAACCAUGGGCGGGUGCUCUUGCGACUCUUGGCUGGUUCCAAGAUUGUGCUUGAUCGGUUUAUCUGUCUGUGCAGGGAUGGCAAGGCAGCUUGAAGGUGGUCAC
RNAcentral lists this long non-coding RNA (3111 nucleotides) under Triticum aestivum (bread wheat). RNAcentral's name for it is "long non-coding RNA (TAES_LNC027564)". Lineage: Eukaryota; Viridiplantae; Streptophyta; Magnoliopsida; Poales; Poaceae. The record is from RNAcentral.